RNAcentral lists this ribosomal RNA (274 nucleotides) under uncultured bacterium. RNAcentral describes it as "partial 16S ribosomal RNA". It matches the Rfam family "Bacterial small subunit ribosomal RNA", at positions 523 to 796 of the family's 1533-position model. The record is from RNAcentral.
AUACGGAGGGUGCGAGCGUUGUUCGGAAUCACUGGGCGUAAAGGGCGCGCAGGCGGUCUGUCAAGUCAGAUGUGAAAGCCCACGGCUCAACCGUGGACGUGCAUCUGAAACUGGCAGACUCGAGUACCGGAGGGGCAAGUGGAAUUCCCGGUGUAGAGGUGAAAUUCGUAGAUAUCGGGAGGAAUACCGGAGGCGAAGGCGACUUUCUGGACGGAUACUGACGCUGAGGCGCGAAAGCGUGGGGAGCGAGCAGGAUUAGAAACCCUAGUAGUCC